RNAcentral lists this ribosomal RNA (424 nucleotides) under uncultured bacterium. Its description in RNAcentral is "bacterial SSU rRNA". It matches the Rfam family "Bacterial small subunit ribosomal RNA", at positions 354 to 796 of the family's 1533-position model. The record is from RNAcentral.
GUGGGGAAUAUUGCACAAUGGGGGGAACCCUGAUGCAGCGACGCCGCGUGAGCGAAGAAGGUUUUCGAAUCGUAAAGCUCUGUCCUAUGAGAAGAUAAUGACGGUAUCAUAGGAGGAAGCCCCGGCUAAAUACGUGCCAGCAGCCGCGGUAAUACGUAUGGGGCGAGCGUUGUCCGGAAUUAUUGGGCGUAAAGGGUACGUAGGCGGUUUUUUAAGUCAGGUGUGAAAGCGUGAGGCUUAACCUCAUUAAGCACUUGAAACUGGAAGACUUGAGUGAAGGAGAGGAAAGUGGAAUUCCUAGUGUAGCGGUGAAAUGCGUAGAUAUUAGGAGGAAUACCGGUGGCGAAGGCGACUUUCUGGACUUUUACUGACGCUCAGGUACGAAAGCGUGGGGAGCAAACAGGAUUAGAAACCCGGGUAGUCC